This 249-nucleotide signal recognition particle RNA is filed under the name uncultured Eubacterium sp. Its description in RNAcentral is "Bacterial large signal recognition particle RNA". It matches the Rfam family "Bacterial large signal recognition particle RNA". From Rfam's summary of the family: The signal recognition particle (SRP) is a universally conserved ribonucleoprotein involved in the co-translational targeting of proteins to membranes. Archaeal SRP consists of a 7S RNA and homologues of the eukaryotic SRP19 and SRP54 proteins. Lineage: Bacteria; Bacillati; Bacillota; Clostridia; Eubacteriales; Eubacteriaceae. The record is from RNAcentral.
AGCCGGGGCAGCAGCGGCGCCCUGUACCAUCAAUCCGCUAUAGUUGGGGUGAUAUCCUGCCGCGGGUCUUUGAUUGUGGAGCUGCCUUUUAUAAGCGGCGUGGAUUCUUGGGUCUCACGCAACAGGAACUUGUGAACCGGGUCAGGUCAGGAAUGGAGCAGCCCUAAGCAGGAUCUCCUGUGUGCCGUGAGGGUGCCUGGGAUGAGUUGGCUGUAGAAGUAACGUCCAUGGUCGGGAUUCAACGCAGGA